This 440-nucleotide ribosomal RNA is filed under the name uncultured bacterium. RNAcentral's name for it is "partial 16S ribosomal RNA". It matches the Rfam family "Bacterial small subunit ribosomal RNA", at positions 338 to 795 of the family's 1533-position model. The record is from RNAcentral.
CCUACGGGAGGCAGCAGUGGGGGAUAUUGCACAAUGGGGGAAACCCUGAUGCAGCGACGCCGCGUGGGUGAAGAAGCGCCUCGGCGCGUAAAGCCCUUUCAGCAGGGAAGAAAAUGACGGUAUCUGAAGAAUAAGCACCGGCUAACUACGUGCCAGCAGCCGCGGUAAUACGUAGGGGGCAAGCGUUACCCGGAUUUACUGGGUGUAAAGAGGGCGCAGACGGCAUUGCAAGCCAGGAGUGAAAGCCCGGGGCCCAACCCCGGGACUGCUUUUGAAACUGUGUGGCUAGAGUGGGGGAGGGGCAGGCGGAAUUCUUGGUGUAGGGGUAAAAUGCGUAGAUAUCAGGAGGAACACCGGUGGCGAAGGCGACCUGCUAGACUGCAACUGACGUUGAGGCCCGAAAGCGUGGGGAGCAAACAGGAUUAGAUACCCCGGUAGUC